This 310-nucleotide ribosomal RNA is filed under the name uncultured bacterium. Its description in RNAcentral is "bacterial SSU rRNA". It matches the Rfam family "Bacterial small subunit ribosomal RNA", at positions 28 to 334 of the family's 1533-position model. The record is from RNAcentral.
GAUGAACGCUGGCGGCGUGCCUAAUACAUGCAAGUCGAGCGAACGGACGAGAAGCUUGCUUCUCUGAUGUUAGCGGCGGACGGGUGAGUAACACGUGGAUAACCUACCUAUAAGACUGGGAUAACUUCAGGAAACUGGGGCUAAUACCGGAUAGGAGCUCCUGCUGCAUGGUGGGGGUUGGAAAGUUUCGGCGGUUGGGGAUGGACUCGCGGCUUAUCAGCUUGUUGGUGGGGUAGUGGCUUACCAAGGCUUUGACGGGUAGCCGGCCUGAGAGGGUGACCGGCCACAUUGGGACUGAGAUACGGCCCAG